Molecule: ribosomal RNA, 253 nt
Filed under: uncultured bacterium
Lineage: Bacteria
Description: partial 16S ribosomal RNA
Rfam family: Bacterial small subunit ribosomal RNA
Source: RNAcentral
UACGAAGGGGGCUAGCGUCGUUCGGAAUUACUGGGCGUAAAGGGCGCGUAGGCGGCGUGUCAAGUCAGGCGUGAAAGCCCCGGGCUCAACCUGGGAACCGCGCUUGAGACUGGCAUGCUCGAGUUCGGGAGAGGAUGGUGGAAUUCCCAGUGUAGAGGUGAAAUUCGUAGAUAUUGGGAAGAACACCGAUGGCGAAGGCAGCCAUCUGGACCGACACUGACGCUGAGGCGCGAAAGCGUGGGGAGCAAACAGG